ACGUAGGGGGCGAGCGUUGUCCGGAAUCACUGGGCGUAAAGGGUCCGUAGGCGGCCGGGUAAGUCUUGCGUGAAAGCCCCAGGCUCAACUUGGGGAGUGCGGGAGAUACUGCCGGGCUUGAGCACCGGAGAGGCAAGCGGAACGUUGCAAGUAGCGGUGAAAUGCAUUGAUAUGCAACGGAACACCAAUGGCGAAGGCAGCUUGCUGGACGGUCGCUGACGCUGAGGGACGAAAGCCAGGGGAGCGAACGG
RNAcentral lists this ribosomal RNA (251 nucleotides) under uncultured prokaryote. RNAcentral describes it as "partial 16S ribosomal RNA". It matches the Rfam family "Bacterial small subunit ribosomal RNA", at positions 525 to 775 of the family's 1533-position model. The record is from RNAcentral.